This 69-nucleotide transfer RNA is filed under the name Ictidomys tridecemlineatus (thirteen-lined ground squirrel). RNAcentral describes it as "Spermophilus tridecemlineatus (thirteen-lined ground squirrel) tRNA". It matches the Rfam family "tRNA". Rfam says of the family: Transfer RNA (tRNA) molecules are approximately 80 nucleotides in length. Their secondary structure includes four short double-helical elements and three loops (D, anti-codon, and T loops). The record is from Rfam by way of RNAcentral. Lineage: Eukaryota; Metazoa; Chordata; Mammalia; Rodentia; Sciuridae.
GGGGUUGUGGCUCAGUGGUAGAGUGCUUGCCUAGCAUGCAUAAGGCGCUGGGUUCGAUCCUCAGCACCA